This 377-nucleotide ribosomal RNA is filed under the name uncultured eukaryote. RNAcentral describes it as "partial 18S ribosomal RNA". It matches the Rfam family "Eukaryotic small subunit ribosomal RNA", at positions 592 to 976 of the family's 1831-position model. The record is from RNAcentral.
CAAUAGCGUAUAUUUAAGUUGCUGCAGUUAAAAAGCUCGUAGCUGGAUUUCGGGUGGGAAUGGCCGGUCCGCCGUUUCGGUGUGCACUUGCUACGCCCACCUUGCUGCCGGGGACGUGCUCUUGAGUUCACGCUCGGGACACGGAGUCGGCGAGGUUACUUUGAGUAAAUUAGAGUGUUCAAAGCAGGCCUACGCUCUGAAUACAUUAGCAUGGAAUAACACGAUAGGACUCUGGCCUAUCUUGUUGGUCUGUAGGACCGGAGUAAUGAUUAAGAGGGACAGUCGGGGGCAUUCGUAUUUCAUUGUCAGAGGUGAAAUUCUUGGAUUUAUGAAAGACGAACUACUGCGAAAGCAUUUGCCAAGGAUGUUUUCAUUAA